This 2498-nucleotide ribosomal RNA is filed under the name Acinetobacter sp. 230853. RNAcentral describes it as "bacterial LSU rRNA". It matches the Rfam family "Bacterial large subunit ribosomal RNA", at positions 443 to 2925 of the family's 2925-position model. Lineage: Bacteria; Pseudomonadati; Pseudomonadota; Gammaproteobacteria; Moraxellales; Moraxellaceae. The record is from RNAcentral.
UAUGGGGGGACCAUCCUCCAAGGCUAAAUACUCCUGACUGACCGAUAGUGAACCAGUACCGUGAGGGAAAGGCGAAAAGAACCCCUGUGAGGGGAGUGAAAUAGAUCCUGAAACCGCAUGCAUACAAGCAGUGGGAGCACCUUCGUGGUGUGACUGCGUACCUUUUGUAUAAUGGGUCAGCGACUUAUAUUCAGUGGCGAGGUUAACCGAAUAGGGGAGCCGUAGAGAAAUCGAGUCUUAAUAGGGCGUCUAGUCGCUGGGUAUAGACCCGAAACCGGGUGAUCUAUCCAUGAGCAGGUUGAAGGUUGGGUAACACUAACUGGAGGACCGAACCCACCGUCGUUGAAAAGCCGGGGGAUGACUUGUGGAUAGGGGUGAAAGGCUAAUCAAACUCGGUGAUAGCUGGUUCUCCCCGAAAGCUAUUUAGGUAGCGCCUCGGACGAAUACCAUUGGGGGUAGAGCACUGUUUCGGCUAGGGGGUCAUCCCGACUUACCAAACCGAUGCAAACUCCGAAUACCAAUGAGUACUAUCCGGGAGACAGACUGCGGGUGCUAACGUCCGUAGUCAAGAGGAAAACAAUCCAGACCGCCAGCUAAGGCCCCAAAAUCAUAGUUAAGUGGGAAACGAUGUGGGAAGGCAUAGACAGCUAGGAGGUUGGCUUAGAAGCAGCCACCCUUUAAAGAAAGCGUAAUAGCUCACUAGUCGAGUCGGCCUGCGCGGAAGAUGUAACGGGGCUAAAACUAUGUGCCGAAGCUGCGGAUUUGACAUUAGUCAAGUGGUAGGGGAGCGUUCUGUAAGCCGAUGAAGGUGUAUUGAGAAGUAUGCUGGAGGUAUCAGAAGUGCGAAUGCUGACGUGAGUAACGACAAAACGGGUGAAAAACCCGUUCGCCGAAAGACCAAGGGUUCCAGUCCAACGUUAAUCGGGGCUGGGUGAGUCGACCCCUAAGGCGAGGCCGAAAGGCGUAGUCGAUGGGAAAUUGGUUAAUAUUCCAAUACUUCUGUGUAAUGCGAUGAGAGGACGGAGAAGGUUAAGUCAGCCUGGCGUUGGUUGUCCAGGUGGAAGGAUGUAGGUAUGUAUCUUAGGCAAAUCCGGGGUACUCUAUACUGAGAGUCGAUAGCAAGCUGUACUUGUACAGCGAAGUGGCUGAUACCAUGCUUCCAGGAAAAGUCUCUAAGCUUCAGUUACACAGGAAUCGUACCCGAAACCGACACAGGUGGUCAGGUCGAGUAGACCAAGGCGCUUGAGAGAACUCUGCUGAAGGAACUAGGCAAAAUGGUACCGUAACUUCGGGAGAAGGUACGCUGCUGAUGGUGAUAGGACUUGCUCCUUGAGCUGUCGGCAGCCGCAGAAACCAGGCCGCUGCAACUGUUUAUUAAAAACAUAGCACUCUGCAAACACGAAAGUGGACGUAUAGGGUGUGAUGCCUGCCCGGUGCUGGAAGGUUAAUUGAUGGGGUUAGCGUAAGCGAAGCUCUUGAUCGAAGCCCCAGUAAACGGCGGCCGUAACUAUAACGGUCCUAAGGUAGCGAAAUUCCUUGUCGGGUAAGUUCCGACCUGCACGAAUGGCAUAAUGAUGGCGGCGCUGUCUCCAGCAGAGGCUCAGUGAAAUCGAAAUCGCUGUGAAGAUGCAGUGUACCCGCGGCUAGACGGAAAGACCCCGUGAACCUUUACUGCAGCUUGACACUGAACUUUGACCUUACUUGUGUAGGAUAGGUGGGAGGCUUUGAAGUAGGGACGCCAGUUCCUAUGGAGCCAUCCUUGAAAUACCACCCUGGUAAUGUUGAGGUUCUAACUCUGACCCAUAAUCUGGGUCGAGGACCGUGUCUGGUGGGUAGUUUGACUGGGGCGGUCUCCUCCUAAAGAGUAACGGAGGAGUACGAAGGUGCGCUCAGCGUGGUCGGAAAUCACGCGUAGAGUAUAAAGGCAAAAGCGCGCUUAACUGCGAGACCCACAAGUCGAGCAGGUACGAAAGUAGGUCUUAGUGAUCCGGUGGUUCUGUAUGGAAGGGCCAUCGCUCAACGGAUAAAAGGUACUCUGGGGAUAACAGGCUGAUACCGCCCAAGAGUUCAUAUCGACGGCGGUGUUUGGCACCUCGAUGUCGGCUCAUCUCAUCCUGGGGCUGAAGCAGGUCCCAAGGGUAUGGCUGUUCGCCAUUUAAAGAGGUACGCGAGCUGGGUUUAGAACGUCGUGAGACAGUUCGGUCCCUAUCUACCGUGGGCGCUGGAAAUUUGAGAGGAUCUGCUCCUAGUACGAGAGGACCAGAGUGGACGAACCUCUGGUGUACCGGUUGUGACGCCAGUCGCAUCGCCGGGUAGCUAUGUUCGGAAGGGAUAACCGCUGAAAGCAUCUAAGCGGGAAGCCUACCUCAAGAUAAGAUUUCCCCGUGACUUUAUGUCACCUAAAGAGCCGUUCAAGACCAGGACGUUGAUAGGUUGGAUGUGGAAGCAUAGUGAUAUGUGAAGCUGACCAAUACUAAUUGCUCGUGAGGCUUGACUAU